This is a non-coding RNA of Elaeis guineensis (African oil palm), 2982 nucleotides long. NCBI's taxonomy places the organism in Eukaryota, Viridiplantae, Streptophyta, Magnoliopsida, Arecales, Arecaceae. The record is from RefSeq and is a predicted model, not a curated record.
AUGAGAGCAGAUUUUUAUUCUGACCUCCCAAUUUCGGUUAAACCAAAAUUUAUUAGUGUCUGCUUCCGGUUCGCGGUCGUCUCCGCUUCGAGCCGGCACCCGCUCGGUCCGUAUCCGAAGCAUGCCGCUGGUUCGAAUUCCUUUCUUGUCCGAUUAAAUCCUCAAUUUCUAUCAUCACUUCUCAGUCCAGAUCACGGCCCAAAACUCUCCUCUCUUCUUGUUUUUCCUUCUUGGGAUCUCCGUAAUCGCCCAAAACCUUCCUCAUCCCAUGCUCUAACCUCAUUACCUUCUUCUCUAUUCAAAUCACGCAAACUAAUUCCAUAGAAAUCCUUAUAGCUUUUUUACCCCUUGAUCGUGUUAGAUUGACAAAAAAAAAAAAGUUAUAUAUGAUUUUUAUUGGGCUUAUGGUGCUUCAUAACAUUAAGGAGGAUCAAUGAAAAGAGAAUUCGGAGUCACAUGGGAAGCUUAGUUUAUAGAAAGAAUGAGGUUGGAUUCAUACAAGGUGUUUGUGCAAUUGUCUUAAAGGGAAGCUGGUCUAAUUUGUCGAACACUCAUAUCAGUCAUUGCCUCACCACCUCGAAUGUGAACCAGAUCUUGCUUCAGCUGUCGGCGGACACACCGCUCUCAUGGGCAUUCUUCAGGUGGAUGCAAUCUCUUCCCUACUACCAUCACUCCCUCCAGCCCAACUGGACCAUGGUCCACCUCCUCACCAAGAACAGGCAGUUCAAAGCUGCACGAGAAUUGCUCGAGAAGUUUGCUUUCAAGGAUUUCCUCUCAUCCCCAUCGGUGCUGAAUGCUUUGCUGAGCAGUUAUGAGGAUGCUGACUUGAAUUCUCAGAUCUUAAGUUGGCUUGUAAUUAUUUAUUCGCAGUCAAAGAUGACUCAGGAUGCAGUUCAGGUAUUUGAGCAAAUGAAGAGCAAUGGCUUGAGGCCAGAUCCGCAUGCUUGCAAUGCUCUCUUGAGUGCACUUGCAAAGGCUAGACUCACCGCCACUGCAUGGAAAGUAUACGACGAAAUGACUUGGAUGGGAGUAGUCCUAAAUAUCCACAUCUUUAAUGUUAUGAUCCAUGUUUGUUACAAGUCAGGUGAUGUUGAGAAGGCUGAAAAUUUGGUGAAUAAGAUGGAGCGGAGGGGUAUCCGUCCCGAUCUAUUCUCUUAUAACACAUUGAUCUCAUUGUUUUGCAAGAAGGGAAUGCAUUAUGAGGCUUUGGCUGUUCGGGAGAGAAUGGAUAGAGAAGGGACCCAUCCGGAUAUUGUAACUUAUAAUUCUCUUAUUUAUGGGUUUUGUAAAGAAGGUAGAUUGAGGGAGGCAUCAAGGCUUUUUAAGGAAAUCAAGGGUGCCGGUCCUAACCAUGUCACUUACACCACUCUCAUCGAUGGCUACUGCAGAGUUAACAACCUUGAUGAGGCACUUUGUUUGCGUCAGGAAAUGGAGGCUAAAGGGUUGUAUCCUGGGGUAGCCACCUAUAAUUCAAUCAUUCGUAAGCUGUGCGAAGAAGGGAAAAUGAAAGCUGUUAAUGAUCUUCUGAAUGAGAUGGAUGAGAGGAAGGUUCAACCUGACAACAUCACAUGCAAUACCUUGAUUAAUGCUUAUUGCAAGAGAGGGAACAUGGCCUUUGCAUGGAAACUUAGGAAUAAGAUGUUGGAAUCAGGAUUGGCUCUAGACCAGUUUACCUACAAGGCUCUGAUCCAUGGCUUCUGCAAGGUCCAGGAGUUGGACGAAGCUAAAGAAGUCCUCUUUGAUAUGCUGGAUGCAGGACUAUCUCCAAAUUAUAGUACUUACUCAUGGCUUGUGGAUGCUUACUGCAACCAGAAUAAUGCAGAGGCAGUGUUAAGGAUCCCAGAUGAACUUGCUAAAAGAGGUCUUUCUGUGGAUAAGUCAGUGUACAGGGCUUUAAUUCGAAGAUUUUGUAAGUUGGGAUUGGUUGAUUUUGCAGAAAAAGUGUUUAUUCAGAUGCAAGGGAAGGGCUUCUCAGGUGACAGUCUUGUGUAUAUCACCCUUGCAUAUGCUUACUUGAGUGCAGGAAAACCAAUUACGGCUUCUGAAAUGUUAAAUGACAUGGCUAAGAAUCAACUAGUAAUAACUGUGCAAAUAUACAACUGCCUGAAUGCUUCUUGUGCCAAUGAGAAUGACAUCUUGGAGCUGCUUUGGAAUCAUGCCAGUGAAAGAGGUCUGAUUGCAAAGAAUGUUUACAAGUUGAGGCAACAAGCCAGGUCAAAAUCUUAAAGCAGUCAGAGAUGUAUGCAGUCCACAUCUAGCAGAUAUUUUUAUAUGGUUUUUACAUCAUUCAACAUUGUUUACAAGUGCAAAAUGUUGUUAUAAUUGUUGGAGCCUCUUCUUUCACCUUGUAAAUUAAUUGGUCCAUAAUUCAGUUUAUGAGGAUAUUGGGAAGUAUAUUCAAACCCAAUUUGAUCAAUUUGAACAUAAACUAAGUUGCAUGGUUUAGCAUGCUGAAGGCAAAUGAAAGUAUGACAUGGUUCAAGACUUAGAAAGUGAAGUGCUGAUAAAUCAAGGCAUUCUGAUUUUGACUUCAAGGAAAGGUGGAACCACAGGUUUAAUAACUGGUCCAAUGAAAUCAGCAUCAACCUAUCUCAAUUAUUGAUGCAGUGAAAAAAGAGCAUGUCCCAGUGCAUGAGACUCCCACUAUUGCUGGUUUGAGGGUCAAACAUACGAGCCUUACCCCUAAGUGUGGAGAGACUCUUCCGAGUUUUGAACAUGACAAACAGGUCAAAAUAGAGCAACCUUAAUGUUGCACCAGGGCCCACCCUCCAAUUAUGUGCAUCACAUGCCUGCAAGAUUGACAUGCAUGCUCCAUGAUUAGUUGAAUCCAAGCUUCUGGCUCUUGCUAAGGCAUUUCUUGGCAGAUGAGGACAGCAUAGCAAAAUAUGUUGUGAUCAUAUUGAAGUCAUGAACUUUUCUUUAUAUUGCAGCAAAGAUUGAUUUCUGAAAUUGUUAGUCACUACAGUAGUUUGUAUAGUUAGA